Molecule: long non-coding RNA, 359 nt
Filed under: Salmo salar (Atlantic salmon)
Lineage: Eukaryota; Metazoa; Chordata; Actinopteri; Salmoniformes; Salmonidae
Description: lncRNA (ENSSSAG00000113797.1)
Source: RNAcentral
CUCUCUUUUACUCCUCUUCCCUCUCCUUUUUUAUUCUUCAUAAUUUGUGUGCCUCUAUUGCCAUAUCUCUAUGCCACGUCCUUCAAGUAGUUUACCAUGGUACAGGAUUUUACUAGCUGGAGACGCAGACCUUUUCUACUAACUGAGCCCAGCUCCCCCUCUCUCUCUGGUGUGACAGGUUAUGGGCGGGGAAGGGCUGGGUUUCCUGUGUGUAUCAAGAAUGGUCCACCACUCAAAAGACGUCCAGCCAACUUGACACAACUGUGGGAAGCAUUUGAGCCAACAUGGGCCAGCAUCCCUAUGGAACGCUUUCGACACCUUGUAGAGUCCAUGCCCCGACAAAUUGAGGCUGUUCUGAG